CUGACACAGGUGCUGCAUGGCUGUCGUCAGCUCGUGUCGUGAGAUGUUGGGUUAAGUCCGUACGAGCGCAACCCUGUCCUUAGUUACCAGCACGUUAUGGUGGGCACUCUAAGGAGACUGCCGGUGGACAAACCGGAGGAAGGUGGGGGAUGACGUCAAGUCAUCAUGGCCCUUACGGCCUGGGCUACACACGUGCUACAAUGGUCGGUACAAAGGGUUGCCAAGCCGCGAGGUGGAGCUAAUCCCAUAAAACCGAUCGUAGUCCGGAUCGCAGUCUGCAACUCGACUGCGUGAAGUCGGAAUCGCUAGUAAUCGUGAAUCAGAAUGUCACGGUGAAUACGUUCCCGGGCCUU
RNAcentral lists this ribosomal RNA (353 nucleotides) under uncultured Pseudomonas sp. RNAcentral describes it as "bacterial SSU rRNA". It matches the Rfam family "Bacterial small subunit ribosomal RNA", at positions 1029 to 1382 of the family's 1533-position model. The record is from RNAcentral. Lineage: Bacteria; Pseudomonadati; Pseudomonadota; Gammaproteobacteria; Pseudomonadales; Pseudomonadaceae.